GUCGAAAUGAUUCAAGAGUACAAUCCGAGUAUCGAGUAUACUCCAGGCAAGGCUAAUGUGAUUGCUGACGCUUUGAGCAGAAAAGCAUAUUGCAACAGUCUGAUUCUCAAGCCUUAUCAACCCGAGCUUUGUGAAGCUUUCCGCAAGCUUAAUCUGCAAGUUGUUCCUCAAGGUUUCCUCGCCAACCUUCAAGUCUCUCCUACCUUAGAAGACCAGAUUCGCCAAGCCCAACUUCUUGAUGCUAUGGUGAAGAAGGUGAAGAUUGGUAUUGCAAAGAGUCAGUCCAAGUACAAGUGCUACCGACUUGAUGACAAGGACACUCUCUUCUUCGAGGAUCGAAUUGUUGUGCCCAAAGGUGAACUUCGUAAGGUGAUCAUGAACGAGGCUCACAACUCUCUCCUCUCCAUCCACCCUGGUAGUACGAAGAUGUAUCAGGAUCUCAAGCAAGCUUAUUGGUGGACUCGAAUGAAGCGCGAGAUCGCUCAAUUCGUGAAUGAAUGUGAUGUCUGCAGAAGAGUGAAGGCAGAACACCAAAGGCCAGCUGGUCUCCUCCAACCUCUUGCCAUUCCAGAAUGGAAGUUUGACCACAUUGAAAUGGACUUCGUGACUGGGUUUCCAAAGUCCAAGCGUGGCAAUGAUGCUAUAUUUGUCGUCAUCGACAAGCUCACCAAAGUGGCACAUUUUCUGCCUAUCAAAGAGUCGAUCACUGCAGCUCAAUUGGCGGAACUCUAUACCUCUCGCAUUGUCUCUCUGCACGGUAUUCCUCAAGUGAUAUCUUCAGACCGUGGCAGCAUCUUUACCUCCAAGUUUUGGGAUUCUUUUCAGAAGGCCAUGGGCACCAACAUCCGCUUCAGCACAGCUUUCCAUCCUCAAACGAGCGGUCAAGUCGAGCGUGUCAAUCAGAUUCUUGAAGAUAUGCUCAGGGCUUGUGUG
Molecule: ribosomal RNA, 933 nt
Filed under: Triticum aestivum (bread wheat)
Lineage: Eukaryota; Viridiplantae; Streptophyta; Magnoliopsida; Poales; Poaceae
Description: partial small subunit ribosomal RNA
Source: RNAcentral